RNAcentral lists this ribosomal RNA (26 nucleotides) under Tricholoma terreum. RNAcentral describes it as "partial 18S ribosomal RNA". The record is from RNAcentral. Lineage: Eukaryota; Fungi; Basidiomycota; Agaricomycetes; Agaricales; Tricholomataceae.
AACAAUAGCGACUGAGGAGGACAUUA